Molecule: long non-coding RNA, 1221 nt
Filed under: Polistes fuscatus (common paper wasp)
Lineage: Eukaryota; Metazoa; Arthropoda; Insecta; Hymenoptera; Vespidae
Description: uncharacterized LOC122522530
Source: RNAcentral
AGAUAAUAUUAAAAAUAAUUAUAUUUAAAUGUAUUAUAUACUAUAUUAUAGAAAGUUAAAAAUUUUCCAAAUAUUAAAUGAGAAAUGUUUAACAACAGUGAGAUUAAAAUCAUUCAAUUAAAUUUAUAAUAGACUUUAAUCUACAGUAUAGAGAAGAGCUAUGUAAAGUUGCAUAACGUUUCAUAGAGAAAGAGUUAAAUGAUGUUUACGUAUAGUUCAACGUUUAUUGUAUUCGGAUUAUUUUUAAUAAUUUUUUCUGAUACGACUUUGGCAAAAUGUAAUAACAUCGAAACUUGUACUUGCAUCGUUCCUGACAAUGAAGCAAAAAAUUAAUUAACAUUAUAUACAAAGGAAAACCUGAAGAGAAACUGCCUCAUACAUUGUACAUCGAUUAUUGUGAGAAUAUACCAGAAAAAAUUAAUGAAAAUGAACUCCAUUGCAUUAAACAAAAUGGAUCGUUCUGCUCCAAUAAUUUUCAUACAACAAAACUUACCGAAUUAGGUGUUGUGAGUCAAACUGAUGCACAAUUGGUAUCAGGGUAUAAUAAUAUAUCAAUAUACAUAAAUUAUCCAAAUUUUGUUUUACUAACAACGGUCAGUUGUUGCACAAAGUGUACCGCACAAUUUAUUUCCAAUAAUAUUACCUAUCAUGUUCCACCAAUAGGAACAAUAAAUCCGUGCAGGAAACAACUGCCUCCAGCUACCAUUUCUAUGGGAUCUACUUUAGUAAUUCUAUUCUUCGUGUUCAGUGGAUUAUAUUUUAUUGGUGGGGCAAUAGCAUUAAGGAUGCUAAGAGGUGCGACUGGUUGGGAAAUGUUACCUAAUCACGAGUUCUGGUGUGAUCUUCCAUCACUUAUUAGAGAUGGCAUUACUUUCACGUUUAACUGCUGCAGAGCAGAUAGUUAUGAACGAAUAUAAAUCUCUGAUGCGAUUUUAUCUAUAUUAUUUUUUUAUACUAUACCUAAUGUGUACAAACUCGGCUCUAAUUUAUACAUCUUUAAAAUAAUGUGUUUAUAAAUAUCCAAGAUGUUAGAUCUUACUGUAUAUUUAUAAAUUACAACAAUUUGUGUGCUAUGAUAUUUGAUAAGAACGAAGACGAAAGUUAUUUAAUAUAGCAUAUACAUUUGCUUUCUAAUAAUCCGGCGUAUAUUCGGAAACAUUUUACUGUGAAUAUUCAUUAUUUUACAUAUUUUUUACAGUAUAUUAUAUACACAAGAAUGUA